RNAcentral lists this ribosomal RNA (164 nucleotides) under Hordeum patagonicum subsp. patagonicum. RNAcentral's name for it is "5.8S ribosomal RNA". It matches the Rfam family "5.8S ribosomal RNA". From Rfam's summary of the family: 5.8S ribosomal RNA (5.8S rRNA) is a component of the large subunit of the eukaryotic ribosome. It is transcribed by RNA polymerase I as part of the 45S precursor that also contains 18S and 28S rRNA. Functionally, it is thought that 5.8S rRNA may be involved in ribosome translocation. Lineage: Eukaryota; Viridiplantae; Streptophyta; Magnoliopsida; Poales; Poaceae. The record is from RNAcentral.
CACACGACUCUCGGCAACGGAUAUCUCGGCUCUCGCAUCGAUGAAGAACAUAGCAAAAUGCGAUACCUGGUGUGAAUUGCAGAAUCCUGCGAACCAUCGAGUUUUUGAACGCAAGUUGCGCCCGAGGCCUUCUGGCUGAGGGCACGCCUGCCUGGGCGUCAUGC